RNAcentral lists this ribosomal RNA (616 nucleotides) under Paenibacillus sp. CH60. RNAcentral's name for it is "bacterial SSU rRNA". It matches the Rfam family "Bacterial small subunit ribosomal RNA", at positions 731 to 1344 of the family's 1533-position model. Lineage: Bacteria; Bacillati; Bacillota; Bacilli; Caryophanales; Paenibacillaceae. The record is from RNAcentral.
GGGCUGUAACUGACGCUGAGGCUCGUAAAGCUGGGGAGCAAACAGGAUUAGAUACCCUGGUAGUCCACGCCGUAAACGAUGAGUGCUAGGUGUUAGGGGUUUCGAUACCCUUGGUGCCGAAGUUAACACAGUAAGCACUCCGCCUGGGGAGUACGGUCGCAAGACUGAAACUCAAAGGAAUUGACGGGGACCCGCACAAGCAGUGGAGUAUGUGGUUUAAUUCGAAGCAACGCGAAGAACCUUACCAGGUCUUGACAUCCAACUAACGAAGCAGAGAUGCAUCAGGUGCCCUCGGGAAAGUUGAGACAGGUGGUGCAUGGUUGUCGUCAGCUCGUGUCGUGAGAUGUUGGGUUAAGUCCCGCAACGAGCGCAACCCUUGACUUUAGUUGCCAGCAGGUGAAGCUGGGCACUCUAGAGUGACUGCCGGUGACAAACCGGAGGAAGGUGGGGAUGACGUCAAAUCAUCAUGCCCCUUAUGACCUGGGCUACACACGUACUACAAUGGCCGGUACAACGGGAAGCGAAGCCGCGAGGUGGAGCCAAUCCCAGCAAAGCCGGUCUCAGUUCGGAUUGCAGGCUGCAACUCGCCUGCAUGAAGUCGGAAUGCUAGUAAUCG